Molecule: ribosomal RNA, 484 nt
Filed under: uncultured bacterium
Lineage: Bacteria
Description: bacterial SSU rRNA
Rfam family: Bacterial small subunit ribosomal RNA
Source: RNAcentral
GACGACGCUGGCGGCGUGGAUUAGGCAUGCAAGUCGAACGGUAUCAUCCUUCGGGGGUGAGAGAGUGGCGAACUGGUGAGUAACACGUAGGUUAUCUACCCUCAAGACGGGGACAACCCAGGGAAACUUGGGCUAAUACCGGAUGUGAGCAACUUUUAGUGUUUGAAAGGUGGCGUAAGCUGUCGCUUGGGGAUGAGCCUGCGUCCUAUUAGUUAGUUGGUGAGGUAACGGCUCACCUAGGCAAUGAUAGGUAGGCGGCCUUAACGGGUGGUCGCCCACACUGGGAUUGAGAUACGGCCCAGACUCCUACGGGAGGCAGCAGUCGAGAAUAGUCUACAAUGGUCGGAAGACUGAUAGUGCGACGCCGCGUGAACGAUGAAUCCCUUCGGGGUGUAAAGUUCUUUUAUAUGUGAGCAGUGCUUCUUAUAUUAACAGUAUGGGGAGAGAGAUAUUAGCAUAUGAAUAAGCAACGGCUAACUCCGUG